GGUAGUAGCACAUAUUCUAACCAGAACUUCAAAGGCCGAAGUGGAGAAGGGUUCCAUGUGGACAGCAGUUGAACAUGGGUCAGUCGGUCCUGAGAAAUAGGCAAGCGCCAUUCUGAAUGGACAGGCGACGGCCUCCGUUGCCCUCAGCCAAUCGAAAGGGAGUCCGGUUCAGAUACCCGAAUCCGGAUUGGCGGAGAUGGACACCGCCAAGCGUCCAGCACAGUAAUGCGAAGGAUCCCAGAGAAGCCGCUGGAAGCCCCUGGGAGAGUUCUUUUCUCCUUGUGAAGGGCAGGGCGCCCUGGAAUUGGGUUCUCCUGGAGAGAGGGGUCCGCGCCUUGGAAAGCGUGGCGGUUCCAGCGGCAUCUGGUGAGCUCUGGCUGGCCCUUGAAAGUGCGGGGGAGAGGGUGUAAAUCUUGCGCCGGGCUGUACCCAUAUCCGCAGCAUUCCUCCCUCUGGAACUAAGACCUCUAGGCC
Molecule: non-coding RNA, 474 nt
Filed under: Pongo abelii (Sumatran orangutan)
Lineage: Eukaryota; Metazoa; Chordata; Mammalia; Primates; Hominidae
Description: Eukaryotic large subunit ribosomal RNA
Rfam family: Eukaryotic large subunit ribosomal RNA
Source: Rfam by way of RNAcentral